Long non-coding RNA from Beta vulgaris subsp. vulgaris (sugar beet), 3367 nucleotides. RefSeq lists it as uncharacterized. NCBI's taxonomy places the organism in Eukaryota, Viridiplantae, Streptophyta, Magnoliopsida, Caryophyllales, Amaranthaceae. The record is from RefSeq and is a predicted model, not a curated record. The transcript has 3 exons.
CCGCGUAACACUGUCAAAACUUACACCGCCUCAUUUGAUAAAAGCACCCCUUAAUCCUCAUUGCAUAAAUUGCAGAGCGAAAUUCCAAACCCUAAUGAAAAAUUCCCCUCUUUCUUUCAGGGAAUUCGACGAUAAUCCAAAUUCCACUUCUUCCUCAAACAUUAUGAUGGAAUGCGAAGUUCCGGAAUUCGAAAUUCCAAAUUCCAUCUUUCUAUUUCUGGAUAUCAAUUUCCGUAAUUGAAAAUCUUCAAUUCAUGUGAGUGGUAAUUGAUUGCCGUGUUUUGAAUUAUCGCCUUCUGAAGAGCCAACAAUGAAGAUCUCUUUGAUUUUGCUAUGUAGUUACAUUGAGUUAUUGGAGUACGAAGAACGAAUGUAUAAGUUAGAAGGUUGUUAGAAGGUUGUUUGAAGGUAUUGGUUCUUCGUAGGCAGACUUACGUUUUCUACGAUCAAUUCUUUGUAAUCGUAUGGGUGCGCCUCCACUUCUGCGAGGCAUGCGCCUCCUUACGCCUUCGCGCCUUAUCUAGGUUUGACAAUGUCCGAGGAAGAUGUAUUGUCAUCCGUGAGACCGUGAGUGGAUUUUUGACAUGAUAAAGAAGAUCACACUUCUUGCCAAAGAUGUUAUCCUCUCUAUAGGUUUCCUCAACAUCACAGAAUAAAGAUUGAAGCAAAGAUUUAGGAGAGGUAGGUAGUGGGAUGGUGGGUAUAUUUUUUAUUUUAUUCAGAUAUGGUAGUUUAAAUUGAAAAUAUUUUUGCUCGCAGUUUAUCUUUGCUAUGAUAUACUUGUAUUUAAAGCUGGAAAAUAAUCAGUGUGUUAGGUAGGUACCAUGUCAUGUAUAACUUCCAAGUGUGGUUGAUGUCAAUGCUUGUUGUCUACUAGCUUACUUAGGCAGGUAGUUUUGUAUAUUCUUAUGGGUCUAUGGGAAUUUGAUAUGAUGCAAGUUCUGAAUGGACGGACUACAUUCUCUGAAAGAGUAUGGUCAUGUUGGAAGAGUAUGAAGAGAUUGGUCAUUACUGUCUUGUCUUCUGUUGCAUCAAAUUUUGGUUUGCAGCAAUAUAAGAGGAAAUGCUUUGAGGUAAUUGUGUACAUCUUGGGAAUAAAAAGGUGACAUAAGGUUUAAGGCUCUUUUGGUGAUGUGUUCAUCAUGUGAUGUAUAAGUGGAGUAAUGUUUUCGGUGUUUAUUGUAAACAUGUUAAAGAAUUUUUAAAGGAAGUGAUGGGUUUCGGGGGUUUGUGCUCUUUUGCAGUUCGUAUCUAUCGUGAAUCACAUCUGUGAGAUCCUUUUAUGGGAGAUGUGUUGACGACUUAGACAUUAUGUUAACCUAUAUGUGUGUUGAAGUGAUUUACUGAUUGUUCUAUUUUUAAUAAGCAAAUCUUCAUUUUUAAAAAAAUAUUCUUUUUUCAGAAAAAUGUCGUUUUAAAAAUUAUUUUCCUCCAAAAAAAUAUGUUCUCUUUUCGCUGAAAAUAUGUUUUAUAUUUGAUACGCAUAUGUUCAAUUUAAGUAAUUGAAUUCUAGUAAUAUUUAACUUCAACAAGAAAAUGUUCAUUUUCAUAAUUGGAUUCUGGUAAUGUUCCACUUUAAUAGUAAGACGUUCUUUUUCUUAAAAGAAUUAUUGUAAUGUUCAAUUUCAACAAGUAAAAUGGUCGUUUCAGUAAGUGCAUUUUUGUAAUGUUUUACUUUCAACAGUAAAAUGUUCGUUUUCAUAUUCGGAAAUGUUCUAUUUUGUAUGUUGGAGCACAGUUCUCAUUGUGCUCAUGGGAGCACAAACCAGAAAAGUGCUCGUAUUAAUGUUCUAGUGGAGUAAUGUUUUUUAAGGUUUUUUCUGUUUACAUGUUUAGUAUUUAGGGGCCCAAUGUUCAGUUUUGUGGUUGGUUUUGUGGAUUUUUAGUAUUUAGGGGCCAGUGUUCAGUUUUGUGGUUGGUUUUGUGAAUUAGAUUUAUAAGACUAAUAUAUAAGUGAUCUGUUGACAAUUUAACAAUCUAAUCGUGUUGAGGAAAUGUGAAUAGUGACUAAGUUCAUUUAGAUUUAAUUGUCGUUGCUUAGUGGUUUUGUGAUCUGAUUGACUAGAUAAAAUAUUAAUGACAAUUUAAGUUGUAUAUCUUUUUCAAAGCAAAGAACAAUGGGUGCAUGGUGAUCAUCCAAUGACCACGAUAUCUUGUAUGAUGAAGUGAGUGAAAGAGAGUCUUGGUUUCCAGCAAAUGACAAGAAAUACUUUGUAUGAAUUGUAUACUAGUUGUGGAAAAAACGAGGUGACCUAAGGUUUUAGGCUAUUUAGGUGUGUUGUCGAGAUUUGAUAGUUAUUACGGUUGGUAUUGGGGAUGAGAUUAUGUGAUUAUUUGGGGAAAAUGGGAAUUUGGAUUUAUCCUCAUUAUUGUCGGAUUUGUGUUUUGAUUGACCAAAGAUAGUAUUAAUGACAAGUCGGGGGUCGAUAAUUGUGUUUAGCAUUAGUGGUGUGUAUGCUGAGCACCCAAUAACUAUGGUUAUUUGGAUGAUGAAGUGAGUGGAAGAGAAUCUUGCAUAGAUGUCAAGUAAUCGAUCAACAUACAACAAUUUUUCUGUUUGAUGAUUAUAUGGGCAAUGAAUAUGAAAUUAGAGUUGACAACAAUAAAAAAAAUUAGUGGAAUUGAGUUGGUCCUUCCCCUCAUGAUUUUGGCGAAAUAUGAGAAAAUGAAUUAAUGAUUUGAAUUAAUUAUAUACUACUUGGGGAAAAGAAAGGUGACAUAAGUUUUGAGCCUAUUUAGGAGAUGUCAUUAUCAUGUGAUGUACUUGAAAUGUUCCCCUAUUAAUGUACUAGUGGAGUAAUGUCUUUAGUUUUUUUUUUCUUUUUUCUUUUUACAUGUUUAGUAUUUAGGGGGCCUGAUGUUAAGUGUUGUGGUUGGUUUUAUGAAUGAGAUUUUAAAGACUAGUAUAUGAGUGAUCAUAAGUUUUUGGCCUAUUUAGGAAAUGUCAAUAUCAUGUUAUGUACCACAAUAGUGCUUCUAUCAAUGUACUAGUGGAGUAAUGUAAUGAGGUUUUUUCAUUUUACAUGUAUAAUAUUUAGGGGCCGGUGUUGAGUGUUGUUAAUGAAAUUUUUAUGACCAAUAUACGAGUGAUUUGUUAACAAGCUAACCUUAUUAAGGAAAUGUGAAUAGUGAUCACUUCAUUUGGAUCUAAUUGUCGUUGUUCCUUAGUGGUUUUGUGAUCUAAUUGACCGGAGAUAAUAUUAAUGGCAAUUUGAGGCUGGAAUAUCUUGUUCGGAACAACAAACAAUGGUGUGCAUGGUGAUCAACCAAUGACCACGAUGUCUUUUAUGAUGAAGUGAGUGAAAGAGAGUCUUGGUUUCCAGCAAAUGAGAGGAAUUGCUUUGAAUGAAUUGUAUACUACUUGUGG